UUACGGCCAUUUCUCGUCGAAACACCGGUUCUCGUACGAUCACUUAUGAUAAGUAACAUAGAGCCUGGUCUGUACCUAGAUGGGUAACUGUUUGGGAAUAUCAGGUGCUGUAAG
Non-coding RNA from Acanthosepion pharaonis, 114 nucleotides. The record is from the annotation of a GenBank genome assembly. Lineage: Eukaryota; Metazoa; Mollusca; Cephalopoda; Sepiida; Sepiidae.